ACGAACGCUGGCGGCGUGCUUAACACAUGCAAGUCGAACGCUGAAGACCUGGCUUUUGUUGGGUUGGAUGAGUGGCGAACGGGUGAGUAACACGUGAGUAACCUGCCCCCUUCUUUGGGAUAACGCCCGGAAACGGGUGCUAAUACUGGAUAUUCACUGGCCUUCGCAUGGGGGUUGGUGGAAAGGUUUGUUCUGGUGGGGGAUGGGCUCGCGGCCUAUCAGCUUGUUGGUGGGGUGAUGGCCUACCAAGGCUUUGACGGGUAGCCGGCCUGAGAGGGUGACCGGUCACAUUGGGACUGAGAUACGGCCCAGACUCCUACGGGAGGCAGCAGUGGGGAAUAUUGCACAAUGGGCGAAAGCCUGAUGCAGCGACGCCGCGUGAGGGAUGGAGGCCUUCGGGUUGUAAACCUCUUUCGCUCAUGGUCAAGCCGCAACUGUGGGUUGUGGUGAGGGUAGUGGGUAAAGAAGCGCCGGCUAACUACGUGCCAGCAGCCGCGGUAAUA
RNAcentral lists this ribosomal RNA (503 nucleotides) under Actinomyces sp. 13-266. RNAcentral's name for it is "bacterial SSU rRNA". It matches the Rfam family "Bacterial small subunit ribosomal RNA", at positions 29 to 525 of the family's 1533-position model. The record is from RNAcentral. Lineage: Bacteria; Bacillati; Actinomycetota; Actinomycetes; Actinomycetales; Actinomycetaceae.